Molecule: ribosomal RNA, 403 nt
Filed under: uncultured bacterium
Lineage: Bacteria
Description: partial 16S ribosomal RNA
Rfam family: Bacterial small subunit ribosomal RNA
Source: RNAcentral
AUUGAACGCUGGCGGCAGGCCUAACACAUGAAAGUCGAGCGAGCGGCGGCCGGGUGAGUAAUGUAUGGGGACUGCCCGAUAGAGGGGGAUAACUACUGGAAACGGUGGAUAAUACAGCAUAACAUCGGGUAACCCAUAUGGGAUUAGCUAGUAGUGAGGGUAAAGGCUCACCUAGGCGACGAUCACUAGCUGGGCUGAGAGGAUGAUCAGCCACACGGGGACUGAGACACGGCCCAGACUCCUACGGAGGCAGCAGUGGGGAAUAUUGCACAAUGGGCGCAAGCCUGAUGCAGCCAUGCCGCGUGUAUGAAGAAGGCCUUAGGGUUGUAAAGUACUUUCAGCGGGGAGGCGUUACCCGCAGAAGAAGCACCGGCUAACUCCGUGCCAGCAGCCGCGGUAAUAC